Long non-coding RNA from Brassica napus (rape), 2070 nucleotides. RefSeq lists it as uncharacterized. NCBI's taxonomy places the organism in Eukaryota, Viridiplantae, Streptophyta, Magnoliopsida, Brassicales, Brassicaceae. The transcript is spliced from 8 exons. The record is from RefSeq and is a predicted model, not a curated record.
GAGAUCCAUCGUCAAACCCUUCAUCUUCCUGCACUUUCUUUCAUCAAACGUAUAAAAAAAAUAUCACUCACGAAUAGAUCAAUGUUACAUUUCCUUCACUCUUUAAGGAAAAACCACAUUCAACACACAAUUUUGCCUUCAGUUCCAAAUUAAAUCCCUUCUAAACAUCUCUCUAUUACAUCUACCCUUUCAUUUCAAUCUGAAUCCAGCCGUUUCAUGUAUCUAUGAAAGCUCUCCUAUAAAUUUAGGGCCAAACACAACUAAACCCUCACCACAAUCCACCGCAAAAACAUGCCGUCAGCAGAUUCGUCUUUCUCAAUUCCCGUCUUCCUUUAUUGCUGAUCUUUAUCAUGAUUUAUGUCUAGGGUUCAUACAUCUCCCUCGACAGUCUCCAUCUGGAUUGAUUCAACGUAUUGGAUUGCAUAUAUGUUGGCUUACGAAAAAGCUGAGAGUUUCAUUCAAGGGAAAUAAAAAGGACGCCACUGAAUUCUUGGAGGAGAUGAAUGAGAAAGAAACUACAGAGAUGAAAGAAAUCAUGGGUCUAAAGGGGAAUGGAGUUCUAUGUGUCUACCCUCGGGAAAAGAACAUCAAAAACGUGCUGUCCAUCUCAAAAGAGAAGAAGAAAGAGCACCAAAGAAUUCAAGCAGACUUUCUUUCUUAGUUUUGCUUUUAAGAUUUCAAGAAUAAAAUCAGGUUAGUCCUGUGGAUGGCACCGUUCUGAGGUUUGGGGAGUUAAAAGAAAGUAGAGGGAUGAACGAGCAAGUCAAAGGACAUUCCUACUCAGCAUCAGGUCUUCUCGGAACAAACUCUCCUUCCCAUGGUACCUAAAGGUAAGGAUGAAUCUGAGGAAGAAGCUGUUGCAGAUAAAAUCGACAAGUCUUGGUUGAGAAUCUCUUUGGCUUAUCCAAAACUACGGGAGAGCAUCUCAGCUAGAUCAGUGAAAUACUAGCACGUCUAAGCCGUGACUUUAGUGUCAAGAAAAUUUCAACUUAUAUGAUCGAGUUUUGUUGCAGUCCGAUGAAGGGGCUCUAUUAUUGUGUGAUAUACCUAAGACCAGGGGACUAUCAUCAUAUACACUCUCCAGCUGACUGGAAUGCAUUGGUUUGUAGACACUUUGCAGGGCGGUUGUUUCCUGUGAAUGAGUGUGCUACAAGAACUAUAAAAAAAUCUCUAUGUUGAAAAUGAAAGGGUCGUACUUGAAGGGAUAUGGAAACAAGGUUUUAUGGCACUUGCUGCUGAUGGUGCGACCAACAUUGGAUCCAUUGCGCUAUUCAUCGAACCUAGGAGCAGGUGUACGAUCCACAAGGUCAUGGCGUAAAGCUUGAGAAAGGAAAGGAGGUAGGUGUAUUCAACAUGGGAUCAACUGUGGUGGUUCAAGCAGUUCCUCGGAUUACAGAUUCUGUGUCAAACUCUGUUUGUUAAUGACAGUGUCUGAAUAUGACCGUUUGACAGGCUAAUAGCGGUUGAGUGUUGGAGCUACCUAGAUGCCUAGAAGAACUCGCUGGCAAGCAAUGCUUCUUUCAUGAUUCAAGUGAAACCAUACAAUUUCACUCCCAACCAUGGCACCUUCACGUACGAUGUCUGCAACUUCUGAGGACGUGUCUGUGAAACUCCUUUUUGUGCACUACGUGUCUGUGAAACUCAUUCAGAGAUAAACUAAGCUUAGUAAAGAAAACAUCUUCAACAGCAGUGAUUGAAAUAACACAUCUACUGAUUAGUUAUAGGUUGAAAGCAGCAACACAACUCCACAAGCGGCAUGGCAGAUUGCACAACCACCUGCUUCUGACACCAACCCGAUGGAUGGGCUACAAAAGGGAUGGACGUUGAUCAACCAAGACCACCCAACUUUGGAGAUGAGGAGAAGAGCCGCAAACGCCCCUGGAGUGAUUGUUGGAAGUACUACAAUUCGUCUUUCCCACUAAGAUUUCUUUUCCUACAUUACAAGCUCUACGCAAUUGCUCUUUUCCGUCGUUUGUGUUUUUCCUAUUUUCUUUUUAAAAUUUCCUGCAACAAGCUCCAUCUGAGAACAGUGUUAUUUUAAUUUAAAUUAAAGGAAGUUUGACGGCUUAA